AAUCGAAGCAGUGAACUUAAGCCCCAGUAAACGGCGGCCGUAACUAUAACGGUCCUAAGGUAGCGAAAUUCCUUGUCGGGUAAGUUCCGACCCGCACGAAAGGCGUAACGAUUUGGGCACUGUCUCAACAACAGACUCGGUGAAAUUGUAAUUCCGGUGAAGAUGCCGGAUACCUGCGACAGGACGGAAAGACCCCAUGGAGCUUUACUGUAGCUUGACAUUGGGUCUUGGUACUACAUGUACAGGAUAGGUGGGAGGCUUUGAAACCAGGACGCCAGUUUUGGCGGAGCCAUCCUUGGGAUACCACCCUUGUAGUACUGGGACUCUAACCAUAGGCCAUGAAUCUGGUCUUGGGACACUGUCAGGUGGGCAGUUUGACUGGGGCGGUCGCCUCCCAAAAGGUAACGGAGGCGCUCAAAGGUUCUCUCAGUACGGUCGGAAAUCGUACGUAGAGUGUAAAGGCAAAAGAGAGCUUGAUUGCAAGACAUACAGGUCGAGCAAGGAUGAAAAUCGGACUUAGUGAUCCGGUGGUUCUGCGUGGAAGGGCCAUCGCUCAACGGAUAAAAGCUACCCUGGGGAUAACAGGCUUAUCUCCCCCAAGAGUCCACAUCGACGGGGAGGUUUGGCACCUCGAUGUCGGCUCAUCACAUCCUGGGGCUGUAGUAGGUCCCAAGGGUUGGGCUGUUCGCCCAUUAAAGUGGUACGCGAGCUGGGUUCAGAACGUCGUGAGACAGUUCGGUCCCUAUCCGUCGCAGGCGUAGGAAAUUUGAGAAGACCUGUCCUUAGUACGAGAGGACCGGGAUGGACGUACCUCUGGUGUACCAGUUGUUCUGCCAAGGGCAUGGCUGGGUAGCUAUGUACGGAAUGGAUAAGCGCUGAAAGCAUCUAAGCGCGAAGCCAACUUCAAGAUAAGAUUUCCCACCGCAAGGGUAAGACCCCAGAAAGACUAUCUGGUUGAUAGGUCGAAGGUGUAAGUGCAGCAAUGUAUUUAGCUUAUCGAUACUAAUAGGUCGAGGACUUGACCAA
RNAcentral lists this ribosomal RNA (1026 nucleotides) under Clostridioides difficile. RNAcentral describes it as "bacterial LSU rRNA". It matches the Rfam family "Bacterial large subunit ribosomal RNA", at positions 1897 to 2925 of the family's 2925-position model. The record is from RNAcentral. Lineage: Bacteria; Bacillati; Bacillota; Clostridia; Peptostreptococcales; Peptostreptococcaceae.